This 310-nucleotide ribosomal RNA is filed under the name uncultured bacterium. RNAcentral describes it as "partial 16S ribosomal RNA". It matches the Rfam family "Bacterial small subunit ribosomal RNA", at positions 503 to 807 of the family's 1533-position model. The record is from RNAcentral.
AAGAGACAGCAGCCGCCGCGGGAAUACGGAGGGGGCUAGCGUUGUUCGGAAUUACUGGGCGUAAAGCGUACGUAGGCGGCUUUGUAAGUUAGAGGUGAAAGCCUGGUGCUCAACACCAGAACUGCCUUUAAGACUGCAUCGCUUGAACGUCGGAGAGGUGAGUGGAAUUCCGAGUGUAGAGGUGAAAUUCGUAGAUAUUCGGAAGAACACCAGUGGCGAAGACGGCUCACUGGACGACUGUUGACGCUGAGGUACGAAAGCGUGGGGAGCAAACAGGAUUAGAUACCCCCGUAGUCCCUGUCUCUUAUAC